This 467-nucleotide ribosomal RNA is filed under the name uncultured bacterium. RNAcentral describes it as "partial 16S ribosomal RNA". It matches the Rfam family "Bacterial small subunit ribosomal RNA", at positions 29 to 507 of the family's 1533-position model. The record is from RNAcentral.
ACGAACGCUGGCGGCGUGCUUAACACCUGCAAGUCGCACGGAAAGGCCCUGCUUUUGUGGGGUGCUCGAGUGGCGAACGGGUGAGUAACACGUGAGUAACCUGCCCUUGACUUUGGGAUAACUUCAGGAAACUGGGGCUAAUACCGGAUAGGAGCUCCUGCUGCAUGGUGGGGGUUGGAAAGUUUCGGCGGUUGGGGAUGGACUCGCGGCUUAUCAGCUUGUUGGUGGGGUAGUGGCUUACCAAGGCUUUGACGGGUAGCCGGCCUGAGAGGGUGACCGGCCACAUUGGGACUGAGAUACGGCCCAGACUCCUACGGGAGGCAGCAGUGGGGAAUAUUGCACAAUGGGCGGAAGCCUGAUGCAACAACGCCGCGUGCGGGAUGACGGCCUUCGGGUUGUAAACCGCUUUCGCCUGUGACGAAGCGUGAGUGACGGUAAUGGGUAAAGAAGCACCGGCUAACUACGUG